This 1016-nucleotide long non-coding RNA is filed under the name Homo sapiens (human). RNAcentral's name for it is "HSALNT0064483". Lineage: Eukaryota; Metazoa; Chordata; Mammalia; Primates; Hominidae. The record is from RNAcentral.
AAUCCUGGAGAGAGAAUCCUGUGUGAUCUCCUUAGAUCAUUUCACAAAUAGCCACUUGCUUUGUCUCCUUAAACAACCCUUCCCCCAGUCAUCCCUAUGGUAGUUCCUCCAAAACACCCAGCCCUCCUCUCUCUCUCAGGCUCUUUCUGCCCGCAUUCUCUGCCUAGAUCAUUCUUACUCAUUUUUCAUGGCUGGGGACAAGGGUCACCUCCUCUGUAGAGCCUACUCUGAUGCCCUGAAAUUAGGUCACUCCUAUGUGCUUCCACAGAACCUAAUGCCCCCCUCUCCACUUGCCUACAGACCAUUAAGCUCAGGACUCCAUCUCUGGGUCCUCUUCCCAACACUAGAGGAGAGUGUCCUCAGAAGUGGCAGGAUCCUCCCUUUCCACAGUGCUUAAGAGAUUCUGCUCCAGAAAAUGGCCCAGCAUUGAUAUCCAAAGCUGUGGAUGUUUGCUGACACAAGAGUCCAGGAAGUGCAGGAGGAAAGAGAAGGAGGACAGCAAUCAGUCACAGCUCCUUCCAGCAUUCACACAGUGACUACCACUAAUUACGCCUCUCAGACCUGUGUUUGAGCAGACCUAUUUUCUCUAUGAAUUAAUGCCAAGUGACCUACUUUUCUACAUAUUAUUCAUUAUUUGUUCUGCUGUUUUAUCGAUUUUGAGACUGUUGUGCUACACAGGAAUAAAAAAAAAUCCAAUACAAUAAAACUCCUCUCAUUGAAAAUAAUAUAGCCACACCAUGAAAUAUAAAUUUAUUUUUUCUUUAUGAAAAGAUAGCAUCUGUAGACUACAUUUAGGCUGUGGGAAUUAGCUGAAGGCUGCUUCGUUGGAUUAAUAAAAACAAAAAGAAAUAUAAAUAUGUUAAUGUUUAGACAUGAAACCUAAGAUAAAAUAAUAGACUACAUUUCUAAGUUUUAAAACUUGUUUGCUUAUAAUAUUCUAGAGAUAUUUAUUUCAUAAAAGAGCACAAUGUUAGUUUUACAAGACUAUAUGUAUUUUCUAUUUAUAUUCCUCUUGU